RNAcentral lists this ribosomal RNA (200 nucleotides) under Stenotrophomonas maltophilia. RNAcentral's name for it is "partial 16S ribosomal RNA". It matches the Rfam family "Bacterial small subunit ribosomal RNA", at positions 1 to 206 of the family's 1533-position model. Lineage: Bacteria; Pseudomonadati; Pseudomonadota; Gammaproteobacteria; Lysobacterales; Lysobacteraceae. The record is from RNAcentral.
UUUAAGUGAAGAGUUUGAUCCUGGCUCAGAGUGAACGCUGGCGGUAGGCCUAACACAUGCAAGUCGAACGGCAGCACAGGAGAGCUUGCUCUCUGGGUGGCGAGUGGCGGACGGGUGAGGAAUACAUCGGAAUCUACUCUGUCGUGGGGGAUAACGUAGGGAAACUUACGCUAAUACCGCAUACGACCUACGGGUGAAAG